CUGCAUUCAAGGGGCCAAGUGUGCAAAGGCUGCAAAGAGCAGCCUCUUUGGUAGCAUAUAAAGCUUGUCAUUUGGCAAAAGGAAACUUGGAGACAGUC
This 98-nucleotide small nucleolar RNA is filed under the name Sorex araneus (European shrew). RNAcentral's name for it is "Small nucleolar RNA SNORA70 (ENSSARG00000019455.1)". It matches the Rfam family "Small nucleolar RNA SNORA70", at positions 28 to 135 of the family's 135-position model. Rfam says of the family: snoRNA U70 seems to be exclusive to mammals and is a member of the H/ACA class of snoRNA which contain H (ANANNA) and ACA box motifs. H/ACA box snoRNAs are involved in the conversion of uridines to pseudouridines (5-ribosyluracil) a constituent of structural RNAs (transfer, ribosomal, small nuclear, and small nucleolar). Lineage: Eukaryota; Metazoa; Chordata; Mammalia; Eulipotyphla; Soricidae. The record is from RNAcentral.